Molecule: non-coding RNA, 517 nt
Organism: Zonotrichia albicollis (white-throated sparrow)
Lineage: Eukaryota; Metazoa; Chordata; Aves; Passeriformes; Passerellidae
Source: RefSeq, a predicted model, not a curated record
UAUGGGCAGCAAAAGUCCUGAUAGCUCAAGUGUGUUCUGUUUUACCACAGGUCUUAAAAGCGUUCUGCUGAUGUUGGACUAAGCUUCAAGAAGAGGAAAUUCUACAUCAGAUUAUGGUUUUGAGAUGAAGGCAGAAGCAUCUUACUUACAUGGGCUCCAGAGAAAAGCAUAGGGGCAUCUCCUGUAACAAACAUCCAAAGAAAAUGCCAGGCAAUCUGUCUCUUCUGUGUGAAAAUCAAAUACUGUCCUGCAGCCUGCUAAACAACACUGCUGAGAAGGAUCUGACAGUCUUCUUCAUGCCCUCCUGUCAGGUAUGUAUGUUGUUAAGAUGCCCCCAAACCUUUUUGGGCAGAAGAGUCUCAGCUUUGUCAGCCUCUAUUUUUGUCAGAUUCUCCUAUUGCUUUGUGAACUUUGUGGUUAUUGCUGGACUCAGUACAUAAGGUCUGUGUCUUUCAUCAUUUAUAAUUUAGAGCUCUUCUCACCUGCCUGGCCAGCCUGUUGCUGAACUUUAGAUCUU